UGCUGGCGAGUGCCUAAUACAUGCAAGUCGCGUCGAAUGGAUUAAGAGCUUGCUCUUAUGAAGUUAGCGGCGGACGGGUGAGUAACACGUGGGUAACCUGCCCAUAAGACUGGGAUAACUCCGGGAAACCGGGGCUAAUACCGGAUAACAUUUUGAACCGCAUGGUUCGAAAUUGAAAGGCGGCUUCGGCUGUCACUUAUGGAUGGACCCGCGUCGCAUUAGCUAGUUGGUGAGGUAACGGCUCACCAAGGCAACGAUGCGUAGCCGACCUGAGAGGGUGAUCGGCCACACUGGGACUGAGACACGGCCCACACUCCUACGGGAGGCAGCAGUAGGGAAUCUUCCGCAAUGGACGAAAGUCUGACGGAGCAACGCCGCGUGAGUGAUGAAGGCUUUCGGGUCGUAAAACUCUGUUGUUAGGGAAGAACAAGUGCUAGUUGAAUAAGCUGGCACCUUGACGGUACCUAACCAGAAAGCCACGGCUAACUACGUGCCAGCAGCCGCGGUAAUACGUAGGUGGCAAGCGUUAUCCGGAAUUAUUGGGCGUAAAGCGCGCGCAGGUGGUUUCUUAAGUCUGAUGUGAAAGCCCACGGCUCAACCGUGGAGGGUCAUUGGAAACUGGGAGACUUGAGUGCAGAAGAGGAAAGUGGAAUUCCAUGUGUAGCGGUGAAAUGCGUAGAGAUAUGGAGGAACACCAGUGGCGAAGGCGACUUUCUGGUCUGUAACUGACACUGAGGCGCGAAAGCGUGGGGAGCAAACAGGAUUAGAUACUCUGGUAGUCCACGCCGUAAACGAUGAGUGCUAAGUGUUAGAGGGUUUCCGCCCUUUAGUGCUGAAGUUAAACGCAUUA
Molecule: ribosomal RNA, 850 nt
Filed under: Bacillus sp. PGB3
Lineage: Bacteria; Bacillati; Bacillota; Bacilli; Caryophanales; Bacillaceae
Description: bacterial SSU rRNA
Rfam family: Bacterial small subunit ribosomal RNA
Source: RNAcentral